UAUAAAUUCAUUGAAAUGUUAAAGUAUGAUCAAACCAAGCUUAAUUUAUAAUUUUAUAAAAUUAACAUUGACUUCCCAUCUGCACAUUUGUGUUCCAAAAACGUAAUAUAAAAACAAAGAAGAAAAAUAAACUUAAAAUACCCCACAGUGUGAAAAUAUAUACAAACACACACAACCGAUCAUUAACCUCCAAUUCAUGUAUUGUAUUAUUACUCUAUUAAUAAUAAUUUAGGGUUUUGCCAAAAAUAACAGAUUUGGUAAAAAAAAAAAAAUCUAUUUCAUGUAUGCCACAAUUCGACUAUCUUACUCUAAAUUCUGCAGUUUGGUUUUCUCUUCAUCACAACUCACGUGUUUUUAGUGACCUAACCUUAUUAGGUUUCCAUAAAGGAUUUAAAUGUAUAUUGGAACUUUUGGCAGCGUCCAAAUAAUCUAGUACUUAAUGAGCACCAUAAAACAAAUGAGUCCCAAGUCCUUUCUGUAAUACAUGUUUUAGUGUUGAUCCCUAAAAGGGACAGGGUUAAUUUUCUGGGGAGAUACAUAAAAUCUUUGUAAUGUACUGGAAGACACAAAAGAAAGACUCUGCAUGAAUGCCACUGGAACAUAACUACAUCCUGCCACUAGAGGUCAGCAAGCAUAUCAAAGCUCCUUGUCAUGACAAUUUUGGAAACUGAUGCUUACAAAUAAAUAAAUGGCAGCCUCCACUACUGGGAAAAUUACACCAAUGCUUUAGAGGUCUGGAGUGUCCCUUUAACUAUG
This is a non-coding RNA of Pelobates cultripes (western spadefoot toad), 756 nucleotides long. The record is from the annotation of a GenBank genome assembly. NCBI's taxonomy places the organism in Eukaryota, Metazoa, Chordata, Amphibia, Anura, Pelobatidae.